UCAGGCCUAACACAUGCAAGUCGAACUAGCUCUAGCGCAAGUUAGAGUGGGUGGCGGACGGGUGAGGAACACGUAAGAACCUACCCCUCGGAGGAGGAUAACUGCUGGAAACGGCAGCUAAUACUCCAUAUGCUGAGGAGUGAAAGAUCGAAAGAUCGCCGGGGGACGGGCUUGCGUCUGAUUAGCUAGUUGGUGAGGUAAAUGCUUACCAAGGCGACGAUCAGUAGCUGGUCUGAGAGGAUGAUCAGCCACACUGGGACUGAGACACGGCCCAGACUCCUACGGGAGGCAGCAGUGAGGAAUUUU
RNAcentral lists this ribosomal RNA (306 nucleotides) under uncultured bacterium. RNAcentral describes it as "bacterial SSU rRNA". It matches the Rfam family "Bacterial small subunit ribosomal RNA", at positions 43 to 365 of the family's 1533-position model. The record is from RNAcentral.